This 69-nucleotide transfer RNA is filed under the name Ictidomys tridecemlineatus (thirteen-lined ground squirrel). RNAcentral's name for it is "Spermophilus tridecemlineatus (thirteen-lined ground squirrel) tRNA". It matches the Rfam family "tRNA". From Rfam's summary of the family: Transfer RNA (tRNA) molecules are approximately 80 nucleotides in length. The record is from Rfam by way of RNAcentral. Lineage: Eukaryota; Metazoa; Chordata; Mammalia; Rodentia; Sciuridae.
GGGGUUGUGGCUCAAUGGUAGAGCACUCACCUAGCAUGUGUGAGGCCCUGGGUUUAAUCCUCAGCACCA